ACUCCCCUCCCCUUCCCCUUCCUCCCACAUCACUCCAGUCCACGCGUCCCUUGAUCCGGGCGCUGGCAGGUCGCAUGUGAAUCUGAGCAUCCGUUUCUUUAUUUAUUUUUAUUUAUUUAGAGAUUUCUUUACAUAAUUUUUGAUUUUUGGGGAGAUCGAUGGAGCACUAGCGGAGGUUCCAUCUUCCUUUUAGCUUUCACGGCAUUAUUACACCCGCCUGCUAAGUUCAUAGCAAGUCAAACCUGACUGGGUGUGGGGCUUCCGGAUUUCCUUUUCCACUUCCUUUUUGUUUUGUUUUGUUUUGUUUUUUCGCCUCUUUUGAUUUCCUGCAAUUGAGCUUAAUACAGUUGAUUCAGAUAGUGGAGAAGCUAACUUGUAGGGGCCAAUUUGCUUGAGAUCUUGUUUCUGUAUUUUACCACUUCGCCACCCCACAUGUGUCGAUUACCAAGCAGAUCGAAGGGUCUCGGGUGCCACCGAAAUAUACGAAGCCUGGAGAGAUCGUUCGGCAGAAGAGGACAUGAAGAGUGAAUGCUGGACUGGCAAGCGUUGAUACCUAAACAAUUAUCCGAAGAAAUCGAGCAUGGGGAAGGCUGUAAAGAUGCCCAGCUACUACGAAUUUAGUCUUUGAUCAAGUCGCAAACAGGAAACGAGUGAGGUGGGGGAUUCUCCAAAAUGUUCAUAACUCCAGCCCCUCUAGUUACCAAUGCGGUACCUCGAGUAACGUGGGUGCAGCGAAAAACCAUGUAGCGGUACGUUUCUCUGACCUUGGUUGUGAUUAUUUGAAAAAAAGAAAACAGGGAUUUAAAAUGACUUCAUGCAACUGGAAUCGUUUCUUGAGCCAAUCGACGGUUGAUGAUUGAGUCCCGUGCGUACUACUGCUUAAUUACUCUAAUGGUGUGAUAAGUGUUAUGGGCUUCUCCCCCCCCCCCUAAUUGAGAGGAAUUCGUGUUUCUAUUAAGACACAUGCAAUUUUUCGGCCGUCGAUCUGGGUUCUCGAGGUUGGUCUUGGCAGGCUGGCAGAGAUCUUCCAUCUCGGAUGCUCCUGUACAGUGUACAAUUUUCGUUCCAGAAGCAGCGCGGUUUGCGUUGCAAGGUUUGUGAUGAGUUGCAUGGUGACUUGGAUGGAGAUGGCGAAGGAGGAGGAAGGUCAUGAGAUCCUUGUUGGCCGCGACCAAGUUUGAACAGACCAGUUUCAACCGACUUUGUCAGAGAAAGAGAGAGAAGGGGGGGAGCCAGUCAUGUCAGGAACAAGAGAGCGUCAGAGGAGGAGAUGGAGGUGGAGGAGGGACAGCAAAACCCAAUUGUGGGGCCCAACGAGAGCAGAUGCCGCUUCUUUCCAUCGCCACCAUGAUACUGGGGCCCCUAGAAAAAGCUGUGGUUUGGAAUCAGGGUGGAACGAAACAAGUAGGAAACAGCCGAAAGCAGCGCAAGGAAAGGAGCAGAAACCAAUAUAGAAUUAAAAAUAAAAAAAUAAAAAACACAUGAUGCCGACGACAACGACGAUGACGCUGGUGUUGCAGCAGCUGCCCUCGAUCCAUGAGCAGCAAGCUCAGCCCAGCUUUCCCUGGGUGGGCGGAAAUUGCGCUAAUGACUGCCUAAAUCCGUCAAGUCCAGUGCCGUUUCCACCACGCUUCUCCGCAGCAGCAUGGCGAAUAUGGGAUGGGAUGGAUUGAUGGGCCACGGGGAUCGCUGUGGCCUUGAUUGAUUGGUUGCUCAUGGGGGCGUGAUUGCUCCGUCUUCUACUUGCUCCCCUCUCUGCUGCUGUCAUGGCGAUCGAAGGCUGAAUCGGCGAUCUGCCUUCGCAAUCCGGUCUCAAUCUUUCAUUCUCAUUUCCGGUUUCAGACAAAAUCUUUCUACACGUGGUGGAUCCGACGGAACUUCUUCUACUUCUAAUUAUUAUUAUUUUCCAUAAUCCCCUUCAAAUCGAUAUGGCCUUUCCUUCUUGUUCCUCUACUGCUGCUACUUCUUCUCUACUUCUUCUUUGCUUUUUCUGGAUCUUCGACGAGCUGGUCUUCGGCUCCCUCGUCGUUUAGAUUUCACACGUCCUGCUGCUGGUGCUGCUCCUCCACCUCCUCCGCCGCUGGUCCCUCUGCUUGUGCUGCUCAAUUCCUCACCAUGACCGAAAAACUUACGUCAUCUUUUUGUUUCCACUAAACACUAAAGAGUAGAAAAAUACAACGAUGCGCUGCUGAUUCCUUUUGUUUUAUAGGCCUCUCGUUUGUUGUAGAUUGGAACAAUUUUCUACUUGGUUUUUCUUUUCUUUUUAAAGGGCAAUUGUUACAUGAAUUGUAUGUGAAAAAAUCGAAUUGACAAUGCAAUUUUCCAA
Physcomitrium patens is the source of this 2326-nucleotide non-coding RNA. The record is from RefSeq and is a predicted model, not a curated record. NCBI's taxonomy places the organism in Eukaryota, Viridiplantae, Streptophyta, Bryopsida, Funariales, Funariaceae.